GAAAGAUCCUAGAUUUAAGUCAUUUUUGGAGAUGUUUGAUCAACAAUCAACGAUGUCAAAGGUGUGGGUUUAGAAUUUCGAAAAAAGAUGCUAAUAUGGAACUGCCAAACAAUCUGAUCAGCACCAAACCUGCUGCAGCUGCAUCGGAAAGCAAUACCUGCCUGAUAUGAUGCCAAUCAAUUGCAGAUGACCAAGAUCAUGUUAAGUUACGCCAGAAAGGGAGUGAUAGCAUAAAUGCUGCCAGCAAAGUUCGCUUGGACAAUAUUACUUCCCUACCCGGACAGACAGUUCAUAUGUACAUUGUCGGAAAGAUUAUUGUAACCCAAUUCGAAUCAAGUUAUCCUUAAAUAAAAAGCCAACACUGUAUUAUCUCCAUCGUUACGAUCUAACACUGAACGAUUUAACUUCAGUACAAAUUGUCUAUUUUGUGCUCAACGUGCCAAAUUUGUUGGAAGAAAACGAGGCUAUAAUGUAUACCCUGUUAGAACAGUUGAAUUUAAAAAGAACAUCGAACACAUAUGUAUCGAUAGGGAUGACAAAUAGGGUUCAGAUAUUAAAAGCAGAUUGGAAACAAUACAUGACUUAGCGGCUGCUGUUGCUAUAUACCAUCAGUCAUGCAGCGUAAAUUUUAGGACAGGUAAAAAUAUACCACAGUCAGGCAAUGAAAAAGGAAAGAAGUGUGGAAGACCAGUGAACAUGGCACAGGAA
Dreissena polymorpha is the source of this 708-nucleotide long non-coding RNA. RefSeq lists it as uncharacterized. The record is from RefSeq and is a predicted model, not a curated record. Lineage: Eukaryota; Metazoa; Mollusca; Bivalvia; Myida; Dreissenidae. The transcript has 4 exons.